Molecule: ribosomal RNA, 301 nt
Filed under: uncultured bacterium
Lineage: Bacteria
Description: partial 16S ribosomal RNA
Rfam family: Bacterial small subunit ribosomal RNA
Source: RNAcentral
CAGUCGCCGCGGGAAUACGUAGGUCCCGAGCGUUGUCCGGAUUUAUUGGGCGUAAAGCGAGCGCAGGCGGUUAGAUAAGUCUGAAGUUAAAGGCUGUGGCUUAACCAUAGUACGCUUUGGAAACUGUUUAACUUGAGUGCAAGAGGGGAGAGUGGGAUUCCAUGUGUAGCGGUGAAAUGCGUAGAUAUAUGAAGGAACACCGGUGGCGAAAGCAGCUCUCUGGCUUGUAACUGACGCUGAGGCUCGAAAGCGUGGGGAGCAAACAGGAUUAGAUACCCCGGUAGUCCCUGUCUCUUAUACA